CUACAGUCAAAUCAUGCUGAAAAUACUGGUUCUCAUUUGGUCACCAAAGUUAAGAAAUGUUGUACCUGGUCAGUACUUAGAAGAGGGACCAUUUGGGAAUGCAGGGUACUGUAAG
Non-coding RNA from Acanthosepion pharaonis, 115 nucleotides. The record is from the annotation of a GenBank genome assembly. Lineage: Eukaryota; Metazoa; Mollusca; Cephalopoda; Sepiida; Sepiidae.